GAAAUGCGAUAAGUAAUGUGAAUUGCAGAAUUCAGUGAAUCAUCGAAUCUUUGAACGCACCUUGCGCUCCUUGGUAUUCCUUGGAGCAUGCCUGUUUGAGUAUCAUGAAAUCUUCAAAGUAAAUCUUUUGUUAACUCAAUUGGUUUCUACUUUGGUAUUAGAGGUCUUUGCAGCUUCACACCUGCUCCUCUUUGUUCAUUAGCUGGAUCUCAGUGUUAUGCUUGGUUCCACUCGGCGUGAUAAGUUAUCUAUCGCUGAGGACACUGUAAAAGGUGGCCAAGGUAAAUGCAGAUGAACCGCUUCUAAUAGUCCAUUGACUUGGACAAUACUUUUAUGAUCUGAUCUCAAAUCAGGUAGGACUACCCGCUGAACUUAAG
Molecule: unclassified non-coding RNA, 377 nt
Filed under: plant metagenome
Description: partial contains 5.8S ribosomal RNA, internal transcribed spacer 2, and large subunit ribosomal RNA
Rfam family: 5.8S ribosomal RNA (bases 1-105)
Source: RNAcentral